This 254-nucleotide ribosomal RNA is filed under the name uncultured bacterium. RNAcentral describes it as "partial 16S ribosomal RNA". It matches the Rfam family "Bacterial small subunit ribosomal RNA", at positions 524 to 776 of the family's 1533-position model. The record is from RNAcentral.
UACGUAGGGUGCAAGCGUUAUCCGGAAUUAUUGGGCGUAAAGAGCUCGUAGGCGGUUUGUCGCGUCUGCUGUGAAAACUGGAGGCUCAACCUCCAGCCUGCAGUGGGUACGGGCAGACUAGAGUGCGGUAGGGGGAGAUUGGAAUUCCUGGUGUAGCGGUGGAAUGCGCAGAUAUCAGGAGGAACACCGAUGGCGAAGGCAGAUCUCUGGGCCGUAACUGACGCUGAGGAGCGAAAGCGUGGGGAGCAAACAGG